GCGCUGCUGAAGAGUCCCACGACAGGAUGAAACGGUUGUCCAGUGC
Non-coding RNA from Schistosoma margrebowiei, 46 nucleotides. Lineage: Eukaryota; Metazoa; Platyhelminthes; Trematoda; Strigeidida; Schistosomatidae. The record is from Rfam.